UGUAUCUGAAGCCUGACGAGGAUGAGAACCUCCGGGGGCAAGAGGUUCGACCCGAGCGAAGCGAGAGAACGUUGCGUCAGCAACGGCCCGCAGGGC
RNAcentral lists this small RNA (96 nucleotides) under Salmonella enterica. Its description in RNAcentral is "partial RtT sRNA". It matches the Rfam family "RtT RNA", at positions 1 to 92 of the family's 130-position model. From Rfam's summary of the family: This family represents a bacterial cis-regulatory element known as RtT RNA. The exact function of RtT is unknown although it is thought that it may be involved in changing the cellular response in relation to amino acid starvation. The record is from RNAcentral. RNAcentral also lists the same sequence under 1 other name. Lineage: Bacteria; Pseudomonadati; Pseudomonadota; Gammaproteobacteria; Enterobacterales; Enterobacteriaceae.